This 497-nucleotide ribosomal RNA is filed under the name uncultured bacterium. RNAcentral describes it as "partial 16S ribosomal RNA". It matches the Rfam family "Bacterial small subunit ribosomal RNA", at positions 28 to 507 of the family's 1533-position model. The record is from RNAcentral.
GAUGAACGCUGGCGGCGUGCCUAAUACAUGCAAGUCGAGCGAACAGACGAGGAGCUUGCUCCUCUGACGUUAGCGGCGGACGGGUGAGUACCACGUGGAUAACCUACCUAUAGGACUGGGAUAACUUCGGGAAACCGGGGCUAAUACCGGAUAAUAUAUUGAACCGCAUGGUUCAAUAGUGAAAGACGGUUUUGCUGUCACUUAUAGAUGGAUCCGCGCCGCAUUAGCUAGUUGGUAAGGUAACGGCUUACCAAGGCAACGAUGCGUAGCCGACCUGAGAGGGUGAUCGGCCACACUGGAACUGAGACACGGUCCAGACUCCUACGGGAGGCAGCAGUAGGGAAUCUUCCGCAAUGGGCGAAAGCCUGACGGAGCAACGCCGCGUGAGUGAUGAAGGUCUUCGGAUCGUAAAACUCUGUUAUUAGGGAAGAACAAAUGUGUAAGUAACUAUGCACGUCUUGACGGUACCUAAUCAGAAAGCCACGGCUAACUACGUG